GACGAACGCUGGCGGCGUGCCUAACACAUGCAAGUGGAGCGACGAACCAGGCUUCGACCUGGGGCAAAGCCGCGAACGGGUGAGUAACACGUGGGUAACCUGCCCCGAUGAUUGGGACAACCCGAGGAAACUCGGGCUAAUACCGAAUGUGCCCUCCGACCGCAAGGUCACUGGGGAAAGGAAGCUUCGGCCUCCGCAUCGGGAUGGGCCCGCGGCCCAUUAGCUUGUUGGUGAGGUAACGGCUCACCAAGGCGACGAUGGGUAGCUGGUCUGAGAGGACGAUCAGCCACACUGGGACUGAGACACGGCCCAGACUCCUACGGGAGGCAGCAGUGGGGAAUCUUGCGCAAUGCGCGAAAGCGUGACGCAGCAACGCCGCGU
This 381-nucleotide ribosomal RNA is filed under the name uncultured bacterium. Its description in RNAcentral is "bacterial SSU rRNA". It matches the Rfam family "Bacterial small subunit ribosomal RNA", at positions 28 to 402 of the family's 1533-position model. The record is from RNAcentral.